GAGAUAAGUUCUAACCCAGACUUGAGUGUAAUUAAGAUAGGAGGAUGGUAUAGUCAUGUUCGACUUAUGUGGAGUAGUCCUUAACAAGUUGGCUUGCGACCCAUCUACUAUGUGGAGACCCUUUUGGAGUUAUGAAUGUCACACAAGUUAUUUGUGGUUAGGCAUUACUUUCUCUGAUUUGGGGUCCGAGAAGCUAAAGACUGUAGAAUUUUAACCCCUCUUGGCCUAUUUAGGACGUAUUGCGGAGACUGUU
This 253-nucleotide long non-coding RNA is filed under the name Lathyrus oleraceus (garden pea). RNAcentral describes it as "Pisum sativum (pea) long non-coding RNA (PSAT_LNC007889)". Lineage: Eukaryota; Viridiplantae; Streptophyta; Magnoliopsida; Fabales; Fabaceae. The record is from RNAcentral.